CCUACGGGCGGCAGCAGUGAGGAAUAUUGGUCAAUGGACGAGAGUCUGAACCAGCCAAGUAGCGUGAAGGAUGACUGCCCUAUGGGUUGUAAACUUCUUUUAUAUGGGAAUAAAAUGUUCCACGUGUGGGAUUUUGUAUGUACCAUAUGAAUAAGGAUCGGCUAACUCCGUGCCAGCAGCCGCGGUAAUACGGAGGAUCCGAGCGUUAUCCGGAUUUAUUGGGUUUAAAGGGAGCGUAGGUGGAUUGUUAAGUCAGUUGUGAAAGUUUGCGGCUCAACCGUAAAAUUGCAGUUGACACUGGCAGUCUUGAGUACAGUAGAGGUGGGCGGAAUUCGUGGUGUAGCGGUGAAAUGCUUAGAUAUCACGAAGAACUCCGAUUGCGAAGGCAGUUCACUGGACUGCAACUGACACUGAGGCUCGAAAGUGUGGGUAUCAAACAGGAUUAGAUACCCGAGUAGUC
This 460-nucleotide ribosomal RNA is filed under the name uncultured bacterium. Its description in RNAcentral is "partial 16S ribosomal RNA". It matches the Rfam family "Bacterial small subunit ribosomal RNA", at positions 338 to 795 of the family's 1533-position model. The record is from RNAcentral.